Molecule: ribosomal RNA, 869 nt
Filed under: uncultured archaeon
Lineage: Archaea
Description: bacterial SSU rRNA
Rfam family: Archaeal small subunit ribosomal RNA
Source: RNAcentral
AGCCACUGCUAUCAGGAUUCGACUAAGCCAUGCAAGUUUUCCGCAAGGAAGCGAACAGCUCAGUAACACAUAGUCAAUCUGCGGUGAAGUCUGGGAUACCCUCGGGAAUCUGAGGCUAAACCCGGAUAGAAAACCUAAGAAGGAAAGCUUGGUUUUCGAAAGGCAACGCUCCACCAUGGGACUAUGGCUUAUCAGGCAGUUGGCGGGGUAACGGCCCACCAAACCUACGACGAGUACGGGUUGUGAGAGCAAUGACCCGGAGAUGGGGACUGAGACAAUGCCCCAGGCCCUACGGGGCGCAGCAGGCGCGAAACCUCUGCAAUGUGCGCAAGCACGACAGGGGAAUCCUGAGUGCUCGCACUAUUGUGCGAGCUUUUCUUGAGGCUAAAAACCUCGAGGAAUAAAGGCUGGGCAAGACCGGUGCCAGCAGCCGCGGUAACACCGGCGGCCUGAGUGGUGGCCACAAUUACUGGGUUUAAAGCGUCCGUAGCAGGACUUGAAAAUCCUGGGUAAAAUCCUGGAGCCCAACUUCAGGGCGCGCCCGGGAGACUUCAAGUCUUGGGACUGGGAGAGGGCGAGGGAACUCUAUGUGUAGGGGCUAAAUCCUAUAAUCCAUAGAUGACCACCGGUAGCGAAGGCGCUCGCCUGGAACAGGUCCGGCUGUGAGGGACGAAGCCUAAGGGAGCGAACGGGAUUAGAUACCCCGGUAGUCUUAGGUAUAAACUAUGUAGGCCGGGUGUCGCUGUUACCAAGAGUGACAGCGGUGCCGAAGGGAAACCGUUAAGCCUACCACCUGGGGAGUACGGUCGCAAGACUGAAACUUAAAGGAAUUGGCGGGGGGGCACCACAAGGGGUGAAGCUUGCGGUUC